RNAcentral lists this ribosomal RNA (253 nucleotides) under uncultured bacterium. RNAcentral describes it as "partial 16S ribosomal RNA". It matches the Rfam family "Bacterial small subunit ribosomal RNA", at positions 524 to 776 of the family's 1533-position model. The record is from RNAcentral. RNAcentral also lists the same sequence under 1 other name.
UACGAAGGGGGCUAGCGUUGCUCGGAAUUACUGGGCGUAAAGGGCGCGUAGGCGGCACUGUUAGUCAGGCGUGAAAGUCCUGGGCUCAACCUGGGAACUGCGCUUGAUACGGCAGAGCUAGAGGAUGGAAGAGGCUCGCGGAAUUCCCAGUGUAGAGGUGAAAUUCGUAGAUAUUGGGAAGAACACCGGUGGCGAAGGCGGCGAGCUGGUCCAUUACUGACGCUGAGGCGCGACAGCGUGGGGAGCAAACAGG